GACCCCUGGCUCAUCAGUGCGUGAUCUCACACACACACACACACACACACACACACACACAAACAGGCAAACACACAGUCUCAGGCAGCUGAACAUUAAUCACAGAAAAAGAGUUCAAUAAAAGGCCCAUCGGUUACGAAAUCACUUAUUGCUCAUUAAAACACAACACACGCUCAAACUCUGUUACAUACCAUAUAAACACAACGAGAAGAACCACUCUCUCCCUCAACGGACACGCACAGCCCAACAUCCUCCAUCGUGACCCCGUUCAUUAGUCACACACCACCCUCCCUGUGGCUACAGCUGUAGUUACACAAACACAACAAAGUUGGAAUAAUCAUUAAUCCUCACCGUCGGUGGAGCGUGAACUGCGGUGGAUUAUCACCUCCCUCUCCUUACUGAGUGUGUGUGUGUGUGUGUGUGUGUGUGUGUGUGUGUGUGUGUGUGUGUGUGUGUGUGUGUGUGUGUGUGGUACCUCUGAAUGUGUUUGCUUUACAUGAGCGCUGGUGCAAGGGGUCGCUCUUCUAUCACUCAUUGAACUGUAUCCCGCAGGCCUUCACCUGGCAUUGACCUUCAGACAGGGAACCUUAUCAAUAUCCACGAGUUCUGUCUGUGUGUGUGUGCGUGUGUGUGUGUGUGUCUGUGCCCCGCUGCUUUGGUGCAUUAGCAAUCCCAGGCGUCUCCUGGAAUUCAGACUUACAUCCGUACACCUGACUCCGUGCAGGAAGCUCAGUCACAGUGUCCACUUCUCCACCCUGGAUGUGGACCCCUGUCCAGCACUUCCUACCUGUGAUCCCACAUCAGCUGGUGCUGCAAGAAACAGAAGUCUGUUGGAUCCUGGGAAUAUGAACAGUUGUGAAAGGACCACAAGAGGGCAGAUGAAACUGGACUCAGAGGCCCUAUAACAACACGAGGGUAUGUCUACAGGUAAGUUUUUACCAUGGUGAGCAAACGCAGCUGGAAACUCCGCCCCCGUCACCCGCUGCCAGUGUUCUGUUCCCACUGUCCAAGGUCUGUUUUGAGCUCCUCCGUGUGCUUCUUGUUUCCAGGCUGAUAAACUUGGAAGAAGCAGCCGAUGUGUUUACGUCACACCGCUGGCAGCUGGAAGGAGGGAAGUUUCAGGACUCCCAGGUGACUCGGUGAGAAGAAGAGCGUGGGCACCGAGAGAUCACAGUGGUGCCGGGA
This 1185-nucleotide long non-coding RNA is filed under the name Scleropages formosus (Asian bonytongue). Its description in RNAcentral is "lncRNA (ENSSFOG00015030083.1)". The record is from RNAcentral. Lineage: Eukaryota; Metazoa; Chordata; Actinopteri; Osteoglossiformes; Osteoglossidae.